CAGUAGCCACGGUAAUACGAAGGGGGCUAGCGUUGUUCGGAUUUACUGGGCGUAAAGGGCGCGUAGGCGGACUGAUAAGUCAGGGGUGAAAUCCCAAGGCUCAACCUUGGAACUGCCUUUGAUACUGUUUGUCUUGAGUUCGAGAGAGGUAAGUGGAACUGCGAGUGUAGAGGUGAAAUUCGUAGAUAUUCGCAAGAACACCAGUGGCGAAGGCGGCUUACUGGCUCGAAACUGACGCUGAGGCGCGAAAGCGUGGGGAGCAAACAGGAUUAGAUACCCCGGUAGUCCCUGUCUCUUAUAC
This 301-nucleotide ribosomal RNA is filed under the name uncultured bacterium. RNAcentral describes it as "partial 16S ribosomal RNA". It matches the Rfam family "Bacterial small subunit ribosomal RNA", at positions 509 to 807 of the family's 1533-position model. The record is from RNAcentral.